Molecule: ribosomal RNA, 484 nt
Filed under: uncultured bacterium
Lineage: Bacteria
Description: partial 16S ribosomal RNA
Rfam family: Bacterial small subunit ribosomal RNA
Source: RNAcentral
AGUGAACGCUGGCGGCGUGCUUAACACAUGCAAGUCGAACGAGAACGGAUUAUAGCUUGCUAUAAUUGUCAGCUAAGUGGCGCACGGGUGAGUAAUGUAUAGGUAAUAUGCCUUUUACUAAGGAAUAACAAAUGGAAACGUUUGCUAAUACCUUAUACUCCUUAUUAACCUAAGUUAAUAAGGGAAAGAUUUAUUGGUAAGAGAUUAGCCUGUAUUGUAUCAGUUAGUUAGUGGGGUAAUGGCUUACCAAGACUAUGACACAUAUCUGGUUUUAGAGGAUGAUCAGUAACACUGGAACUGAGACACGGUCCGGACUCCUACGGGAGGCAGCAGUGGGGAAUAUUGAACAAUGGACGGAAGUCUGAUGCAGCAACGCCGCGUGGAGGAUGACACAUUUCGGUGCGUAAACUCCUUUUAUAUGAGAAGAUAAUGACGGUAUUAUAUGAAUAAGCACCGGCUAACUCCGUGCCAGCAGCCGCAGUAA